This 458-nucleotide ribosomal RNA is filed under the name uncultured bacterium. RNAcentral describes it as "bacterial SSU rRNA". It matches the Rfam family "Bacterial small subunit ribosomal RNA", at positions 9 to 471 of the family's 1533-position model. The record is from RNAcentral.
GAGUUUGAUCUUGGCUCAGAUUGAACGCUGGCGGCAGGCCUAACACAUGCAAGUCGAGCGGUAGAGAGAAGCUUGCUUCUCUUGAGAGCGGCGGACGGGUGAGUAAUGCCUAGGAAUCUGCCUGGUAGUGGGGGAUAACGCUCGGAAACGGACGCUAAUACCGCAUACGUCCUACGGGAGAAAGCAGGGGACCUUCGGGCCUUGCGCUAUCAGAUGAGCCUAGGUCGGAUUAGCUAGUUGGUGAGGUAAUGGCUCACCAAGGCGACGAUCCGUAACUGGUCUGAGAGGAUGAUCAGUCACACUGGAACUGAGACACGGUCCAGACUCCUACGGGAGGCAGCAGUGGGGAAUAUUGGACAAUGGGCGAAAGCCUGAUCCAGCCAUGCCGCGUGUGUGAAGAAGGUCUUCGGAUUGUAAAGCACUUUAAGUUGGGAGAAGGGCAGUAAAUUAAUACUUUG